GCUCUCUCUGUUUGCUUUUGCCACUUUCAAGAUUUUAACUUCUCAGGUUAUUAAUCAAAAUUAUUGUAUAAGUUAGCCAAUAGAAUUUUUAGGUUAAAACAACAGAUGGGGGGUUUUUGGAGUGUUUAAUGUCAUGGGCAUUUUUAGUAGCAUAGACCCUUUGUUCUGCAUUUGAAUGUUUCGUAUAUUUUUGUUUCACAGUUAAUCUUUCCUCCCCAAGUUUGCUAUUCAAAUCAACUGCCUGAAUGACAUUUCUAGUAGUCUGAUGAAUUUUUUUGAGGAAUAGUUUGUGAUUCCAAUGCAGGUGUCUUCAUUACCAUUACCUCUACACUGCAGAAGAAGCAAAACUCCUUUAUUAGAAUUACUGCACAUGUGUAUGGGGAAAAUAUUUCUGAAAGGCUAGAAUGAUACAAGUGAGCAAAAGUUGGUCAGCUUGGCUAUGGAGUGGUG
Molecule: long non-coding RNA, 450 nt
Filed under: Homo sapiens (human)
Lineage: Eukaryota; Metazoa; Chordata; Mammalia; Primates; Hominidae
Source: RNAcentral